RNAcentral lists this long non-coding RNA (218 nucleotides) under Zea mays. Its description in RNAcentral is "drought responsive lncRNA". The record is from RNAcentral. Lineage: Eukaryota; Viridiplantae; Streptophyta; Magnoliopsida; Poales; Poaceae.
CUCUGCUGGAAGCACAUUCUUUCACGUCUCCUCUCACCCCAUACGAUGUGGGCAUGAUUUAGGAGGCAGGUAUUGGUGUUGGGAUUAGCGGCGCAGAAGGAAUGCAAGUUUGUUGCUGCUGCUCGCUACCAGUUUACAUGCUAUCCUGUUUUUACAAAAAAAGACUUGAUUACAAUUUAUGACAUGCUAAGUUAAAUCAUGCUACGUCUUGUCCGGAC